GGGCCCGUAGUAUACCGGUAGUACGCUUCCAUGGCAUGGAAGAGAAGGGAGUCCGAUUCUCCCCGGGUCCA
Molecule: transfer RNA, 71 nt
Filed under: Candidatus Omnitrophota bacterium
Lineage: Bacteria; Pseudomonadati; Candidatus Omnitrophota
Description: Candidatus Omnitrophica bacterium tRNA-Ala
Rfam family: tRNA
About the family: Transfer RNA (tRNA) molecules are approximately 80 nucleotides in length. Their secondary structure includes four short double-helical elements and three loops (D, anti-codon, and T loops).
Source: RNAcentral